AAGGGGUGAUAACACGUCGAAUUGCAAAGUCGAAGGAGCACAUAAUAGGUGCCUGGGCU
Molecule: transfer RNA, 59 nt
Filed under: Phelsuma guttata
Lineage: Eukaryota; Metazoa; Chordata; Lepidosauria; Squamata; Gekkonidae
Description: tRNA-Cys
Source: RNAcentral